Molecule: long non-coding RNA, 2645 nt
Organism: Octopus bimaculoides (California two-spot octopus)
Lineage: Eukaryota; Metazoa; Mollusca; Cephalopoda; Octopoda; Octopodidae
Source: RefSeq, a predicted model, not a curated record
UUACCUGAGAUAUAAUAACCUUAUUCACUGAAGACUCAUGAUCUUUCACCUGUUCAAAUGUUAAUUUAUUUAUUUUACUGUAGGAUAUGAGAUUUUCUGCAAAGAAAAUUACAUCAUUUCAACAGUUAUUUCGCAUGUCAAGUAAAUUGUUUUCCGUAAUCGAUUAUAAAUUGUAAAAUCUAAUUUAAAGAUUUAUUGCUUAUUACGAAAAGCCCUACGUGAAAACCACUUUGCUGUCAGUAAUUUGGGAUUAAACUAUACUAAACAACAUCCAGGUGAAAAGCAUACAUAUGUGGAAGAAAAACCAAGAAGAUAAACAAACAAGGAGCUUAGACAAAGCUGUUGUGGUUUAUGCAAUUAUUCAGAACUAGGACAAAAAUCAGUUGAACACUAAAAGGAAAUGGAACGUCAAGAAAACAUAACGAGGAGCCGGUUUCUGUUUGCCUUAGUGGAUUUCGUAGGAGAGUGUUUUGAGCAUGUGUAGCUGACAAUGUUCUCAAAGUGCUUCCAUGCGGUCUCAAUGUGAAUGGAACUGAAAAUGAAGGACCAGUCGAUGAAGAACAGACCCUUUCUGAUUGCUCACCAAUCCGCUUUGUGGAAGUUUAUGUUGUAAAAUAAGUGCAGUGGACUGGGAUUGGCUGGUUUGGUUUUGAUAUGUCGGAAAUUAAAAUAGCAGAGUAUCAUGUCGUGGUCUGAACUCCAAGCCUCUGCUGCAGACACUGCUUUGUGACGUCUUUCCCCUUGCAACAUCGAGACACUUUCGCCGGUUCUCUUCGAAGGCAGCUGAUGCGGCAGCGGCUUCGCGUUCGUGUAGACUAAUGUCGCUCCAUUUGAGGCUCCUUUUCAGAGUGUCUUUGUAUUUCAGUUUAAACCUUCCUUGUUUGUGUGAGCCUUGCGUGUCUAGGAACACGGCUGUCAGUCAUUCUGAUUAUAUGGCAAGUCCAGCGUUACUAAGCCAUCAGUAACAUUGACUCAAUGCUCGUUGAACUAGCUUUGUUCAGCAUUUCUUAGUUUGUCAUUCACACACACACACACACACACACACACACACACCUAUGUAAAAUCAGGGUUAUCUGUUGUGUACAUAACUAAAGGGAUCACGUUAAUUAGUGAAAAGAAAUGCGGUAACAAUAUUUCUUAUAUUACAGUGCAUGUCAUUUACUGUACUGAUAAUGUGUCGUUUCAUUAUCUAACAGAUUUUAUGACCUUGAAGUGCAAAAUAAAACACAUUCACACCCCCACGUGCGCACACCCGCAUGAACGCACAUCCACACAAGCUCUCACACGCACGCUCACAUACUUAUUGUAAAAAUCAAUUUUGUGACUAGGCGAGAACUAUUCCAGCGACAAGAAACUUGGUAUAAACUGCAACCAAUACAUCUGGGUAAUUAGCUAAUAUGCUGUUCUACCUCCCUUAGAAUACACAGAGAUAAAGAAACGAACACGAACACACACAUACAUAAAUACAUACACAUAUACCUUCAUAUAUGUGUGUGUGUGUAUAUAUAUAUAUAUAUGUAUAUAUAUACAUACACACAUAUAUAUAUAAAUACAUAAAUAUCUGCGGUAAUCAAUCAAAAAAUUACAGCAGAUUUCGUGUAUAACUGUGUGGGUGUAUGAAUAAAGUUUUGUCUUCGCGUACGUGGGUGUCUGCGCUUUUUGCACAUAUGAAUAAAUAUAUGCAUUUGCGUAUACGUAUUUAUAUAUGCGCAUUUUGUGCAUUUGUGGGUGUAUAUUUAUGCAUGUGUAUAUGUAUGUUGUACAUCAAGAGUAAUUAUUUUCUUCUUUAUGGUUCAUUGAACUGUGUCGGGCAUAAAAUAAAUGUCUGAGUUAUUUAUUCCUACACGUUGUCAUCAGUGAUAUGUUGGUUGCUAAGAAAAAACAAAGAACAAAGGAGCGUUUGUAUUGGUAGUCACAUAUUGAUAGCCGUUUGAAAGGAAGAACACAAAGAAGCGAAUAAUUUAAAAAAUAUAUCAAGUUUAAAAGGGUAACAAAUGGAAGAAGAAAAUAUAUCGUGGCAUUGGGAGGUGCCAAUGCAGAUGCAAGCUGACACAGACGCCCUUUAAAAUAUCCUUUCUCUCAAUCAGUGAAACUUCUAGGACAUGACUGGUGAAGACAAAGAAGCCUGAUGCAUGCGACUGAUAGAUAUCUGAGCAGAAGAGACAUGAAGAACGUUUAAUAUGAUGUAGCAAACGAAACCACAAACUUUGGAAGCAGACGACCCAUUAAGCACCAAUUUCCAUCUACCAAAUGUAUUCACAAGGCUUCGGUUGGCCCGGGCUAUAGUACAUGACAUUUGCCUAAAGUGCACCGCAGCGAGACUGAACCUGGGACUAUGUGGUUGGAAAGCAAACUUCUUACCACACAAUUAAACUGAGAAGCAAUUUCGAUCAACUUUUUGAAAUAUCAUUAUUUAAAUCUCAAGGCUUCGGUCGGCCCGGGGUUAUAGCGUAUGACAUUUGCCUAAGAUGUACCGCAACGAGACUGAACCUGAGACCAUGUGGCUGGAAAAUAAAAACCCCUUACCAUACAGUUACACAGAGAAUCAAUCUACAACUCUCUUAAUAUAAAUUACUGUAUGUACCAUAUUGUACUAAUGUAAAUAAAUCAAUUUUGAUCAACGUUUUGAAAUAUUAUUGCUUAAA